This 309-nucleotide ribosomal RNA is filed under the name uncultured eukaryote. RNAcentral describes it as "partial 18S ribosomal RNA". It matches the Rfam family "Eukaryotic small subunit ribosomal RNA", at positions 1470 to 1796 of the family's 1831-position model. The record is from RNAcentral.
CCCUUAGAUGUUCUGGGCGGCCCGCGCACUACAAUGGCGUGUGCAGCGAGUGCCGAAGUAGCGUUUUCCGAGGUAUUCUUGCAAUGCUCGUUUUGAUGGGGAUAGACCCUUGCAACUGUUGGUUUUGAACGAGGAAUUCCUUGUAAGCAUGGUUUAUCAUCCGACGCUGAAUGCGUCCCUGCCCUUUGUACACACCGCCCGUCGCUCCUACCGAUGAGUCGUCCGGUGAAGUUCGUAGACCUCGUGAUUGCGGAUCACUGGGGGAAGCAAAAUGAACCUCGCGGUUUAGAGGAAGGAGAAGUCGUAACA